UGGUCUUGUAGCUGCACGAAAAAUGGAAGUCCACAACCCAAAUUGAACAUGCGGAGCUUCUUCUUCCUGGAUUUCAUUGGGUGAUCUGUGCUGCGCAUCCAGUCAAGAUCCCUUGUCUUACUGAAGGUGUGCGUGUUUGGAAGUCACGAGAUGAAGUACACACGCCUUCAGCCAAAAAGAGUCUGCUUACAACAAUGGAGGUGGAAAUUAUGUGCAACUGAGUUGUCGGUUGCAUCGACUCAACUUAGUGCAAGAGCAAAGAUGCUCGGAUCUGAGUACAAGGGAGCUGGAGAUUGUCAUUUCGGAGAAGGCUUAGGUAUUGCUGUUGUUGCCCUUUCUCACGUGGUCUGCAAAAUCUCUAAAUACAGCUUUCAUUGGUCGCGUGGGAGAGCGAUUGAGAUGUCGGGAUCAUAAACCAAGUGGCAGCAAAGAGAGGAAGCGAAUUGAGGCAUAGCAGCAUCAGGAGGAUAUGUCUAUGAUGGGUACCUGAAGGGCCACUCAGCGCCGAGCCGAAGCUAAUGAGCAUGGAUCAGACUGAAGAAGAUAAUUUCCUGGUCGUAGGGGGUGAUGAAACUUGGGAUGUGUUUAGGAGUCAGAAUGCUGCAGAUUUCGCGUGUAGGAGACUUUCAGGAGCACAAUGACCUAGUUAUGUGUUGUAAGGAUGUGGUAGACGAGGAUUUGAAGAGGAAGAGUGGGGAUAAUUUUGCAGCAGCGGUUGUCUGUUUUCAAC
Molecule: long non-coding RNA, 730 nt
Organism: Syzygium oleosum
Lineage: Eukaryota; Viridiplantae; Streptophyta; Magnoliopsida; Myrtales; Myrtaceae
Exons: 3
Source: RefSeq, a predicted model, not a curated record